UACGUAGGUGGCAAGCGUUGUCCGGAAUCACUGGGCGUAAAGCGCGCGCAGGCGGCGAUCUACGUCUGGGGUGAAAGCCCGGAGCUCAACUCCGGGACUGCCUUGGAUACGGGAUCGCUUGAGGAUUGGAGAGGCAAGGGGAAUUCCACGUGUAGCGGUGAAAUGCGUAGAUAUCUGGAGGAACACCGGUGGCGAAGGCGGCAUCCUGGACCAACACUGACGCUGAGUGAGCGAAAGCCAGGGGAGCAAACGGG
This 254-nucleotide ribosomal RNA is filed under the name uncultured bacterium. RNAcentral describes it as "partial 16S ribosomal RNA". It matches the Rfam family "Bacterial small subunit ribosomal RNA", at positions 524 to 776 of the family's 1533-position model. The record is from RNAcentral.